CAAAAAGGAGGCUGAUGUAAGGUACAAGGUAGGAGAUAUGGGCGUGCAGCAAGCAGAGCCUCGUUUGGAGCCCAAGAAGCACAGAAGACAGUCUCGCAAAAGGAUCAACCAAUCAAUCCUGGAUGAGUUGGAUGAACUGGAUGAUGACGACAACUCACUAGAUGAAGAAAAUGAUCCUUUCUUGAGAGCACUAAGGAAUGAAAAUCAGUAGGAAGUUUAAAAAGUGUCACAGGGUACAUCGAAAAUAAUUAGCUUUUUGACCCCCCUUUCUCGUCGCAGAGAUUGAGCUCAGUUUGUAUAUAUCAGAAUCUGAGGUUAACGAGCACUGCUCUAAGCUUCAUCUAUUCCAUGAUUGGCAGCUAUUUAGAGUUGUCUCACGUCUAACAUGAAUGAUUGUCAUGCUUGAUUGCUAAUACAGAGGUUGUGACCUAAAUGUUGCUUACACAGACAGGCGGGCCNNNNNNCAGUUGAACCGCUUUCUGUGCGAGCAUAUAAAGAAGGUUUAUGAACACUAUUCAGAUGCUUAAGGAAUGUCGUCUUCUGUCUCUGUUAUUGAAUGAAUCUACAUUACCCCUUAAAGAAGAAAC
This 587-nucleotide unclassified non-coding RNA is filed under the name Hevea brasiliensis (rubber tree). The record is from RNAcentral. Lineage: Eukaryota; Viridiplantae; Streptophyta; Magnoliopsida; Malpighiales; Euphorbiaceae.